GAGUUUGAUCAUGGCUCAGGAUGAACGCUAGCGGCAGGCUUAACACAUGCAAGUCGAGGGGUAUAGUUCUUCGGAAUUAGAGACCGGCGCACGGGUGCGUAACGCGUAUGCAAUCUACCUUUCACAGAGGGAUAGCCCAGAGAAAUUUGGAUUAAUACCUCAUAGUAUAACGACUCCGCAUGGAGAUGUUAUUAAAGUCACAACGGUGAAAGAUGAGCAUGCGUCCCAUUAGCUAGUUGGUAAGGUAACGGCUUACCAAGGCUACGAUGGGUAGGGGUCCUGAGAGGGAGAUCCCCCACACUGGUACUGAGACACGGACCAGACUCCUACGGGAGGCAGCAGUGAGGAAUAUUGGACAAUGG
RNAcentral lists this ribosomal RNA (362 nucleotides) under uncultured bacterium. RNAcentral describes it as "bacterial SSU rRNA". It matches the Rfam family "Bacterial small subunit ribosomal RNA", at positions 9 to 374 of the family's 1533-position model. The record is from RNAcentral.